UACAGAGGGUGCGAGCGUUAAUCGGAAUUACUGGGCGUAAAGCGCGCGUAGGCGGCUUUGCAAGCCGGAUGUGAAAUCCCCGGGCUUAACCUGGGAACUGCAUUCGGGACUGCAUUGCUAGAGUAUGGGAGAGGGAAGUGGAAUUUCAGGUGUAGCGGUGAAAUGCGUAGAUAUCAGGAGGAACACCGGUGGCGAAGGCGGAUCUCUGGGCCUUACCUGACGCUGAGGCGCGAAAGCUAGGGGAGCAAACGGG
This 253-nucleotide ribosomal RNA is filed under the name uncultured bacterium. RNAcentral describes it as "partial 16S ribosomal RNA". It matches the Rfam family "Bacterial small subunit ribosomal RNA", at positions 524 to 776 of the family's 1533-position model. The record is from RNAcentral.